GAUGAACGCUGGCGGCGUGCCUAAUACAUGCAAGUCGAGCGAACAGACGAGGAGCUUGCUCCUCUGACGUUAGCGGCGGACGGGUGAGUAACACGUGGAUAACCUACCUAUAAGACUGGGAUAACUUCGGGAAACCGGAGCUAAUACCGGAUAAUAUAUUGAACCGCAUGGUUCAAUAGUGAAAGACGGUUUUGCUGUCACUUCUAGAUGGAUCCGCGCCGCAUUAGCUAGUUGGUAAGGUAACGGCUUACCAAGGCAACGAUGCGUAGCCGACCUGAGAGGGUGAUCGGACACACUGGAACUGAGACACGGUCCAGACUCCUACGGGAGGCAGCAGUAGGGAAUCUUCCGCAAUGGGCGAAAGCCUGACGGAGCAACGCCGCGUGAGUGAUGAAGGUCUUCGGAUCGUAAAACUCUGUUAUUAGGGAAGAACAAAUGUGUAAGUAACUAUGCACGUCUUGACGGUACCUAAUCAGAAAGCCACGGCUAACUACGUG
Molecule: ribosomal RNA, 497 nt
Filed under: uncultured bacterium
Lineage: Bacteria
Description: partial 16S ribosomal RNA
Rfam family: Bacterial small subunit ribosomal RNA
Source: RNAcentral